AGUGAACGCUGGCGGUAGGCCUAACACAUGCAAGUCGAACGGCAGCACAGUAAGAGCUUGCUCUUACGGGUGGCGAGUGGCGGACGGGUGAGGAAUACAUCGGAAUCUACUUUUUCGUGGGGGAUAACGUAGGGAAACUUACGCUAAUACCGCAUACGACCCACGGGUGAAAGCAGGGGAUCUUCGGACCUUGCGCGAUUGAAUGAGCCGAUGUCGGAUUAGCUAGUUGGCGGGGUAAAGGCCCACCAAGUCGACGAUCGGUAGCUGGUCUGAGAGGAUGGUCAGCCACACUGGAACUGAGACGCGGUCCAGACUCCUGCGGGAGGCAGCAGUGGGGAAUAUUGGGCAAUGGGCGCAAGCCUGAUCCAGCCAUACCGCGUGGGUGAAGAAGGCCUUCGGGUUGUAAAGCCCUUUUGUUGGGAGAGAAACGCAGCAGGUUAAUACCCCGCUGUUCUGACGGUACCCAAAGAAUAAGCACCGGCUAACUUCGUG
RNAcentral lists this ribosomal RNA (492 nucleotides) under uncultured bacterium. Its description in RNAcentral is "partial 16S ribosomal RNA". It matches the Rfam family "Bacterial small subunit ribosomal RNA", at positions 29 to 507 of the family's 1533-position model. The record is from RNAcentral.